CUGUGCCCGAUGUUCAGGACCUGAGGAAUCAAACUGUUUGCAAUGCAAGAAGGGCUGGGCCUUGCAUCACCUCAAGUGUGUAGACAUUGACGAGUGUGGCACAGAGGGAGCCAACUGUGGAGCCGACCAAUUCUGCGUGAACACUGAGGGCUCCUAUGAGUGCCGAGACUGUGCCAAGGCCUGCCUAGGCUGCAUGGGGGCAGGGCCAGGUCGCUGUAAGAAGUGUAGCCCUGGCUACCAGCAGGUGGGCUCCAAGUGUCUCGGUGAGUCUCCUGCUGGUGGGACACAGGCACCUGGGAGUGCCUCACCCAGCAUGAAUGGUGAAGAGGCCGGAAUAUGGGCAGAUGGAAGGCAUCUGUGUGAAGGAGCAGAUCCCAGAGUCAGCAGGCUUCUUCUCAGAGAUGACAGAGGACGAGUUGGUGGUGCUGCAGCAGAUG
RNAcentral lists this small RNA (437 nucleotides) under Pongo abelii (Sumatran orangutan). RNAcentral's name for it is "processed transcript". The record is from RNAcentral. Lineage: Eukaryota; Metazoa; Chordata; Mammalia; Primates; Hominidae.